This 391-nucleotide ribosomal RNA is filed under the name uncultured bacterium. RNAcentral describes it as "bacterial SSU rRNA". It matches the Rfam family "Bacterial small subunit ribosomal RNA", at positions 113 to 484 of the family's 1533-position model. The record is from RNAcentral.
ACACGUGGUGACCUGCCUUCGAGUGGGGGAUAACGUCCCGAAAGGGACGCUAAUACCGCAUGACAUCCUGCCUUUGAAGAGGCGGAGAUCAAAGCCGGGGAUCGCAAGACCUGGCGCUUGAAGAGGGGCCCGCGUCCGAUUAGCUAGUUGGUGGGGUAACGGCUCACCAAGGCAACGAUCGGUAGCCGGCCUGAGAGGGCGGACGGCCACACUGGGACUGAGACACGGCCCAGACUCCUACGGGAGGCAGCAGUGGGGAAUUGUUCGCAAUGGGCGCAAGCCUGACGACGCAACGCCGCGUGGAGGAUGAAGACCUUCGGGUCGUAAACUCCUUUCGAUCGAGACGAACGGCUUCCGGGUGAACAAUCCGGGAGAGUGACGGUACCGAGAG